AACGUAGGACGCAAACGUUAUCCGGAAUUACUGGGCGUAAAGGGCGCGCAGGCGGAUCGAUAAGUUAGGCAUGAAAGCUUCGGGCUAAACCUGGAGAGGCUGUCUGAGACUGUCGAUCUGGAGUGCGAUAGAGGGGUGUAGAAUUCCGUGUGUAGUGGUGAAAUGCGUAGAGAUGCGGAGGAAUACCAGAGGCGAAGGCGGCACCCUGGAUCGUAACUGACGCUGAGGCGCGAAAGCAUGGGUAGCGAUUGGG
RNAcentral lists this ribosomal RNA (253 nucleotides) under uncultured bacterium. RNAcentral describes it as "partial 16S ribosomal RNA". It matches the Rfam family "Bacterial small subunit ribosomal RNA", at positions 524 to 776 of the family's 1533-position model. The record is from RNAcentral.